RNAcentral lists this unclassified non-coding RNA (1192 nucleotides) under Hevea brasiliensis (rubber tree). Lineage: Eukaryota; Viridiplantae; Streptophyta; Magnoliopsida; Malpighiales; Euphorbiaceae. The record is from RNAcentral.
AUUAUGAAACCCUAGUAAACCAUCGCAUGUCUUCCUCCAAUGACCAACAUUGCUGAGUCCCUCUUCACCAUCUGAAAGCAAGCUCGCCACGACUCACUCCUCUGACUUGCUUGUCUUAUUCUCCGCCCAUCCUAAUGUUCAGGCCAUGUCCGGUAUCCUCCUCUGCAAGCACCUUCCACAGGUAGCUGCCAACGACUCGUUCCUCUGCCCAAAGCUCGCUGAAUCAACUGGAACCACCAGAGAGCUCAUCGGUCACAGAUUUCUUCAUCUCUAGAAAUUGGAUUAGGAAUUUCGACUCCCUCUUACCCCCUUCCCCUUAGAUACUCUAAUAAAACGACUAAUUAAAUUUUCCCAGCCACCAAACAUCUCUUUUUGCACUUUCACAUCAAUUUUUCUCUAGAAGUUAGUUGGGCAGUCGGAGAUUUCCUUAAACGAAGGGCAAUCAAGGAAGCCAGUCCCACAAAGGAUAUAUUAGUCUUUUUGCAAAGAAUUAAUAGAAAAUGAAUGGAACGACCAUUGAAUGAACGAAGGCAAAAAUUAAAGACAUUUUAACGAGUUUCAUUUUCAUCGAAACAGCAAAGACACGUGGCGAUCAGCUGAGGUGGAAGCGCAACACAAAGAGAAAAGGGGCGGUUACCGUCACCACCAGGAGUGGCGGCGCAUAUUAGCACUGACCCACUGCACUUUUUGGACUUUAUGGUGGGGAAUGUGAAUAAGCCAAAUUGACAGACCACAUCCACAUGUAUUUCAGAACCCACACAAAGGAAACCCUCUCCCUCUACAGCGCUUAUCACUACAUAAAAAAACGAAAAAAAAUCUACUUAUGAAUCUGUAUGCAAAACUAAUCAAAAUUUAAAUCCGUAUUUGCAGUGAUUGAUGAGAUUAUGCGAUCUGAUACAACUGUACAAUCUACACUCAAUUGUGCUGCCAAGGAUAGUGAAAUUGAAGUUGAAGGCAGUGUAAAGAAGAAAAGGCCCACUUAACCAACCAAACAUAAGGGGUUAUCCUCUUCUAGAUGAAGAGAAAUUAAUUUUUAGCAGCUACCAAGUCCACUCCUUUUUAAAAGAAAGAACCACCCCCAUUUAUAAAACUCAUUUUCUAUUCUACUACCCCAUCCUAAGACAAAGUCAGUGCUUCCAUUCUCUAUUAAAUAACCAAUUAAACCCUGUGACAACAAAAUUAAAAAAAAAAA